ACAUGACAAUAAUUUAUGCAUCUGAUAAAAUUGAAAUGAUAUAGAGAAGAUUAACAUGGCUCCUGCACAAAAUGACACGCAUAAAUAAGGAAAUUGUCCAAUUUUUU
Molecule: small nuclear RNA, 107 nt
Organism: Salvia hispanica
Lineage: Eukaryota; Viridiplantae; Streptophyta; Magnoliopsida; Lamiales; Lamiaceae
Source: RefSeq, a predicted model, not a curated record